This 346-nucleotide ribosomal RNA is filed under the name uncultured eukaryote. RNAcentral describes it as "SSU rRNA". It matches the Rfam family "Eukaryotic small subunit ribosomal RNA", at positions 594 to 945 of the family's 1831-position model. The record is from RNAcentral.
AUAGCGUAUAUUAAAGUUGUUGCAGUUAAAAAGCUCGUAGUUGAACUUCAGACCUGGCUGGAUGGUCAGCUUUUCAGCUUGUACUGUCUGGCUGGGCCUUACUUCUUGGUGAGCUGAUGUGCCCUUUAUUGGGUGCGUCGGUGAACCAGGACCUUUACCUUGAGAAAAUUAGAGUGUUCAAAGCAGGCCUAUGCCCGAAUACAUUAGCAUGGAAUAAUAAAAUAGGACGUGCGGUUCUAUUUUGUUGGUUUCUAGAGUCGCCGUAAUGAUUAAUAGGGAUAGUUGGGGGCAUUGGUAUUGAGUCGCUAGAGGUGAAAUUCUUGGAUUGACUCAAGACCAACUAUUG